UGGCUCAGUGGUAGAGCUCUAGCCUUGCAUGCCAGAGGCCCUGGGUUCAAUUCCUCAG
RNAcentral lists this transfer RNA (58 nucleotides) under Dipodomys ordii (Ord's kangaroo rat). It matches the Rfam family "tRNA", at positions 8 to 63 of the family's 71-position model. From Rfam's summary of the family: Transfer RNA (tRNA) molecules are approximately 80 nucleotides in length. Their secondary structure includes four short double-helical elements and three loops (D, anti-codon, and T loops). Lineage: Eukaryota; Metazoa; Chordata; Mammalia; Rodentia; Heteromyidae. The record is from Rfam by way of RNAcentral.